CAGGCUAACCUACGCCCAGCAGUGGUAAAGAUGUUUAGGCCCACAGUGCCUGUGUUUGAAAUGUAGGCUAAGCAACAUCAUCCUUCAAGAGAUCUUGGCUACAACUCUGCUAAAAAUAUGCAACACCUUAAGUCUAUAGUGUAUAUACCAUCCAGAAAGCUGGUUCAGCUCUUGAAGAUUGGUUAAUAGUUAGAUAACCAUUGGAAGGUGGGUGAAUGUGAAGGUACUGCCUCAUUACCUGCCUUGUCAAACCAAGAGCAAAUGAGAAUACAUGCAGGAAUAGUUAGAGGGAUAUCGACAAGUUGGAGGGUUCUUAUCAUUUCUCAUACAGACAAGACAGAGGGUAGAGGUAACACAACAUCCACAACAAGAAUUGAAAUCCUGACAUAUAAACAUUAAUAAUGUGAACUUGGUGUCUGGUAAUCCUAAAAACUGAAUAUAAACACUUACCAUCUGUAAAAAAAAUUCUGAAAAAUUCUACUUUAAUAUCAUAACAUGAUCUAAUAACAGAACAAAAACACCAAUAGUAUAGAAAUAAAAAAAAUGGGCACAGAGAAAUGGUUCAAGUUUAACAAAGAACUAAAGAAAGGCCCCUACCUUUGUAAAACAAAAAAUUAUUCGCCAAAACUAAGCUGAACUCACCAUAUAAUUUGUAGCACGCUUUCUGAUAACUUUCUUGUACACUUCAGUACAUCCCUCAGG
Long non-coding RNA from Macrobrachium nipponense, 702 nucleotides. RefSeq lists it as uncharacterized. The transcript has 3 exons. The record is from RefSeq and is a predicted model, not a curated record. Lineage: Eukaryota; Metazoa; Arthropoda; Malacostraca; Decapoda; Palaemonidae.